Molecule: ribosomal RNA, 423 nt
Filed under: uncultured Ornatilinea sp.
Lineage: Bacteria; Bacillati; Chloroflexota; Anaerolineae; Anaerolineales; Anaerolineaceae
Description: bacterial SSU rRNA
Rfam family: Bacterial small subunit ribosomal RNA
Source: RNAcentral
UGGGGAUUUUUCCGCAAUGGGCGCAAGCCUGAUGGAGCGACGCCGCGUGAGCGAAGAAGCCCUUCGGGGUGUAAAGCUCUUUUCAGUGGGAUGACAAUGACAGUACCACUGGAAUAAGCCUCGGCUAACUACGUGCCAGCAGCCGCGGUAAUACGUAGGAGGCAAGCGUUGUCCGGAUUUACUGGGCGUAAAGAGCGUGUAGGCGGCAUGGUAAGUCUGCUGUGAAAGCUCUCGGCUUAACCGGGAGAGGUCGGUGGAAACUGCCAAGCUUGAGGACGGUAGAGGGGGGUGGAAUUCCCGGUGUGGUGGUGAAAUGCGUAGAUAUCGGGAGGAACACCAGUGGCGAAGGCGGCCCCCUGGGCCGCUCCUGACGCUGAGACGCGAAGGCUAGGGUAGCGAAAGGGAUUAGAUACCCCUGUAGUC